CUCGUGUUCUCUGGGCUUUGUUGUCCUCAGUCUUUUUGCAGGAUCAGAAAACAAAACCAGGAGACCUGUAAAUGUUUCUUCUCCAAUUGGAUGAUGAUAAGACUGUGACAUGGGAUGCCACCUUUAGUCUUGUGAUGAAGCAAAGCUCAGGAAGAAGUGUGAUUAAAUGGUACCCACAUGUGUGCUGCUGAGAAGGAUGUACAGGGGCACCUGCAGCCAAAUCCAAGCCUCCUCAGAUGGGCAGGAUAUCACUAUUGGACUGUCUAACCUGCAGGAGCAGCACUGAAUGAUCACCACACAUGAGCAUGUUCCUGCAACAUUCAGCAGCUUUGCUUUUGUGUCAAAUGUCAAACAGCUGGAGAGGAGACUAAACCAGUGUACUGGGAUGUUUCAGCAACGCGUGCCAGAUGCUGUAACUUCAUGGUUUCAUCACCAGAGACAGCCCCGCCCACCUCAGGACCUCGCCAUUGAUCAUGAUGAUUAUAAU
Oreochromis aureus is the source of this 487-nucleotide long non-coding RNA. The record is from Ensembl. NCBI's taxonomy places the organism in Eukaryota, Metazoa, Chordata, Actinopteri, Cichliformes, Cichlidae.